UGGGGAAUCUUCGGCAAUGGACGAAAGUCUGACCGAGCAACGCCGCGUGAGUGAAGAAGGUUUUCGGAUCGUAAAACUCUGUUGUUAGAGAAGAACAAGGACGUUAGUAACUGAACGUCCCCUGACGGUAUCUAACCAGAAAGCCACGGCUAACUACGUGCCUGCAGCCGCGGUAAUACGUAGGUGGCAAGCGUUGUCCGGAUUUAUUGGGCGUAAAGCGAGCGCAGGCGGUUUCUUAAGUCUGAUGUGAAAGCCCCCGGCUCAACCGGGGAGGGUCAUUGGAAACUGGGAGACUUGAGUGCAGAAGAGGAGAGUGGAAUUCCAUGUGUAGCGGUGAAAUGCGUAGAUAUAUGGAGGAACACCAGUGGCGAAGGCGGCUCUCUGGUCUGUAACUGACGCUGAGGCUCGAAAGCGUGGGGAGCAAACAGG
Molecule: ribosomal RNA, 429 nt
Filed under: Chloroflexota bacterium
Lineage: Bacteria; Bacillati; Chloroflexota
Description: Chloroflexi bacterium partial 16S ribosomal RNA
Rfam family: Bacterial small subunit ribosomal RNA
Source: RNAcentral